Small nuclear RNA from Pomacea canaliculata, 144 nucleotides. RefSeq annotates it as U4 spliceosomal RNA. Lineage: Eukaryota; Metazoa; Mollusca; Gastropoda; Architaenioglossa; Ampullariidae. The record is from RefSeq and is a predicted model, not a curated record. The transcript has a single exon.
AACUUUGUACAGUAGCAUUACUAUAGCUGAUGAGGUUUAUCUGUAGCAUGGUUAUUGCUGAUUGAAAACUGAUUAUGAAAUGGACAUAUAUAUAUAUAUAGUUUUGUAAUAUUAAUAAAUUCCCUUAUAGCAGUGAACCUGGAU